RNAcentral lists this ribosomal RNA (251 nucleotides) under uncultured prokaryote. RNAcentral's name for it is "partial 16S ribosomal RNA". It matches the Rfam family "Bacterial small subunit ribosomal RNA", at positions 524 to 774 of the family's 1533-position model. The record is from RNAcentral.
UACGGAGGAUGCGAGCGUUAUCCGGAUUUAUUGGGUUUAAAGGGUGCGUAGGCGGCCGAGUAAGUCAGCGGUGAAAUUUUGCAGCUUAACUGUAACGGUGCCGUUGAUACUGCAUGGCUAGGAUUUGGUUGCUGUGGGUGGAAUGUGUGGUGUAGCGGUGAAAUGCUUAGAUAUCACACAGAAUAUCAAUUGCGAAGGCAGCUCACAAAGCCAAGAUUGACGCUGAGGCACGAAAGUGUGGGGAUCAAACA